This 80-nucleotide transfer RNA is filed under the name Enterocloster aldenensis. RNAcentral describes it as "[Clostridium] aldenense tRNA-Leu". It matches the Rfam family "tRNA". Rfam says of the family: Transfer RNA (tRNA) molecules are approximately 80 nucleotides in length. Their secondary structure includes four short double-helical elements and three loops (D, anti-codon, and T loops). The record is from RNAcentral. Lineage: Bacteria; Bacillati; Bacillota; Clostridia; Lachnospirales; Lachnospiraceae.
GUUCAUGUGGCGGAAUGGAAUACGCGUGCGGCUCAGAACCGCAUGGUUAUACCUUGUGGGUUCGAAUCCCACCAUGAACA